GACAUGACUCUCGGCAAUGGAUAUCUCGGCUCUCGCAUCGAUGAAGAGCGCAGCGAAAUGCGAUACUUGG
Molecule: ribosomal RNA, 70 nt
Filed under: Encyclia tampensis
Lineage: Eukaryota; Viridiplantae; Streptophyta; Magnoliopsida; Asparagales; Orchidaceae
Also listed under: 1 other name
Description: partial 5.8S ribosomal RNA
Rfam family: 5.8S ribosomal RNA
About the family: 5.8S ribosomal RNA (5.8S rRNA) is a component of the large subunit of the eukaryotic ribosome. It is transcribed by RNA polymerase I as part of the 45S precursor that also contains 18S and 28S rRNA. Functionally, it is thought that 5.8S rRNA may be involved in ribosome translocation.
Source: RNAcentral